This 467-nucleotide ribosomal RNA is filed under the name uncultured bacterium. Its description in RNAcentral is "bacterial SSU rRNA". It matches the Rfam family "Bacterial small subunit ribosomal RNA", at positions 34 to 518 of the family's 1533-position model. The record is from RNAcentral.
CGCUGGCGGCGUGCUAACACAUGCAAGUCGAGCGAUGAAGCUCCUUCGGGAGUGGAUUAGCGGCGGACGGGUGAGUAACACGUGGGUAACCUGCCUCAUAGAGGGGAAUAGCCUUUCGAAAGGAAGAUUAAUACCGCAUAAGAUUGUAGUACCGCAUGGUACAGCAAUUAAAGGAGUAAUCCGCUAUGAGAUGGACCCGCGUCGCAUUAGCUAGUUGGUGAGGUAACGGCUCACCAAGGCGACGAUGCGUAGCCGACCUGAGAGGGUGAUCGGCCACAUUGGGACUGAGACACGGCCCAGACUCCUACGGGAGGCAGCAGUGGGGAAUAUUGCACAAUGGGGGAAACCCUGGUGCAAGCAACGCCGCGUGAGUGAUGACGGUCUUCGGAUUGUAAAGCUCUGUCUUUAGGGACGAUAAUGACGGUACCUAAGGAGGAAGCCACGGCUAACUACGUGCCAGCCGCUGC